This 253-nucleotide ribosomal RNA is filed under the name uncultured bacterium. Its description in RNAcentral is "partial 16S ribosomal RNA". It matches the Rfam family "Bacterial small subunit ribosomal RNA", at positions 524 to 776 of the family's 1533-position model. The record is from RNAcentral.
UACGAAGGGGGCUAGCGUUGCUCGGAAUCACUGGGCGUAAAGCGCACGUAGGCGGGUCUUUAAGUCAGGGGUUAAAUCCUGGAGCUCAACUCCAGAACUGCCUUUGAUACUGAGGAUCUCGAGUCCGGGAGAGGUGAGUGGAACUCCGAGUGUAGAGGUGAAAUUCGUAGAUAUUCGGAAGAACACCAGUGGCGAAGGCGGCUCACUGGCCCGGUACUGACGCUGAGGUGCGAAAGCGUGGGGAGCAAACAGG